GUCGACGGCAGCACGGGUGCUUGCACCUGGUGGCGAGUGGCGAACGGGUGAGUAAUACAUCGGAACAUGUCCUGUAGUGGGGGAUAGCCCGGCGAAAGCCGGAUUAAUACCGCAUACGAUCUACGGAUGAAAGCGGGGGACCUUCGGGCCUCGCGCUAUAGGGUUGGCCGAUGGCUGAUUAGCUAGUUGGUGGGGUAAAGGCCUACCAAGGCGACGAUCAGUAGCUGGUCUGAGAGGACGACCAGCCACACUGGGACUGAGACACGGCCCAGACUCCUACGGGAGGCAGCAGUGGGGAAUUUUGGACAAUGGGCGAAAGCCUGAUCCAGCAAUGCCGCGUGUGUGAAGAAGGCCUUCGGGUUGUAAAGCACUUUUGUCCGGAAAGAAAUCCUUGGCUCUAAUACAGYCGGGGGAUGACGGUAY
This 423-nucleotide ribosomal RNA is filed under the name Burkholderia sp. RZ2MS8. Its description in RNAcentral is "bacterial SSU rRNA". It matches the Rfam family "Bacterial small subunit ribosomal RNA", at positions 61 to 478 of the family's 1533-position model. Lineage: Bacteria; Pseudomonadati; Pseudomonadota; Betaproteobacteria; Burkholderiales; Burkholderiaceae. The record is from RNAcentral.